Long non-coding RNA from Vidua macroura (Pin-tailed whydah), 1078 nucleotides. RefSeq lists it as uncharacterized. NCBI's taxonomy places the organism in Eukaryota, Metazoa, Chordata, Aves, Passeriformes, Viduidae. The transcript has 3 exons. The record is from RefSeq and is a predicted model, not a curated record.
GAGACUUCAGCACCUUCACCAGAUCCCAAAGCUUCCCACCACGAGCCCUUCACUCCUCCCUGGCAGGCUGGAAUUCCCAGAGCAGCUGUGGCUGCCCCUGGAUCCCUGGCAGUGCCCAAGGCCAGGUUGGAUCCACCUGGGACAGUGGGAGGUGUCCCUGCCCAUGGAUGGGGUGGGAAUGGGUGGGAUUUGAGGUCCCAUCCACCCGAAGCAUUCCAUGGUUCUGUGAAAUCACCACGUCCCAAGGACCCCAUGGAAGAGUGGGACAAGGAUGGUACUGCCCAGGAGGUCACCAGGAAGGUGCAGGAGCAAAACACGACUGGUCCUUACUGGAAAGCCCCCAGAGGUUCUGCAGCCUCAUCCACGCAGGUUUCUGAGGCCAUGAGAUGCCUCCCAACAGACCACAUGGAGGGUCAGGGCUGCUCCAACCUUCCAGGUUUGUGUCCAGCUCCGGAAGGCCAAGGAACAGCUCCUCUCCCUGUGCACUUUCUGCAGUCAGCUCUCCACGGGGAACGCCCCACGUGUGCAUCCCUGGCCCCACACGAGCUCCCUUCCCAAAGGAGACCUGCAGUAGCUGCAAACACAAACUCUCCCAGCUGCAGCUGCACCAACAGCCCCACUCCCCAGCCACCCCUGAAAGGGGACAUGUGGAAAACUCCCAUUUACGGGGCCAGUGCCCCUCUGUGAAACAGCCAAGCGGGCACAGGUGGCCGAUAAAAGCGCACUUCAACAGCCACGCUUGCAAAAGAAAUUUAUAAGAGUGAGCAAAGCUCGCAGCCUUUUAAUUGCAUGUCAAAUGCUGGGCUCCGAGAACUAAACCAGAUUCCUGCAGGCUGUGCCAAGUGCUUCCAGAUAUUCCGUGUCUGGAGCAGAUCCCGCUGCUACCAAGGGGUUAAAGCUCAGCCUCUGAGGCCGGGGAAGCUUGAAGGCAAUGCCACCAACCCUGAAGGAAAGCAGAGAACAUUUCUGCCAGCUUUGUUCCAAAUAAAAGGUUAUUAAAAACAGCCCCAGCCGCUGUUAACAGGAACGGCCCGACGAGGAGACGUUUACAAAGCAGCUGAACUUGUAAAUAAAUGGA